UCUUCCCCGGGCACGACCUCACAACUAAGGUGGAACCCCACAGUCCUGGUUGCCUUGAGACAGGUGAGGAUUCCAAUGGCGGCGACGGCUCAGCUGGCAUCAGGAUGCAGAACUGGUUCUCUCUUAAUCGACAUCUCCGCAGGUAAGGCCGAAUUGGGCAGUUAAGGCCCAGAGAUUGCCAGGGUGAGUCUUCCACAGCCAUGGCUCUCUGGCCUUGAGAGCAGGGCAGCCCCAGCGGUCAGCCUGGCCUUCUUUGACCAUCUCCUGAGGGGCCCCUUUAACUGGAAGGAGAGCUGGCUCACGUUGACAGUAUUUGUGUCUGGGCACCAGAGGGCUCAAUUUCAGGGCAGUUGACUUCUUCCUCUUUUCCUCCUUCUCCUCCCUAGAACCAUCUACGAGAAGAACAGACCGUAAGUAACUGGAACUCAAAGAAAACCUUGUCUUAGUAAGGCAGGGCAAAUGAAGGGGUUCUUGGUGCUGGAAGGAGAAACCGGGUUUGGGAUACCCUGGAUAUUCCCGAGUUAUUGGCUACCCAUGGAUCUAUGGGUGUCCUUGUGGGGCACAGCAUCACAUACACGCUUUGCUCGGUACUUGCAGCCUUUCCGAGGAUGAUAAAAGGGAAAGCCAGAAUGAAGCUGGAAGAGACCCCCUUGUAGGGGAAGGUUGUCUUCUUCAGCUGCAACCCCAACCAAGUCCAGCUGCUGCAAAUGCAGGGGAUCCGGAAGGCAAGGCUCAGGCUGACCCGUCGGCCCCCAAGGAUGUUUCCCCAGAGCCGGCCCUCCCGGCUCCUAUGCCUCCAGAGGAGAUCAUGGCCCUGAUUCAGGAGCUACAAGCUGCGCAUGAGUUCCAGUCUUCUCACUUCCAAGAGCGUA
Non-coding RNA from Pseudonaja textilis, 872 nucleotides. The record is from RefSeq and is a predicted model, not a curated record. Lineage: Eukaryota; Metazoa; Chordata; Lepidosauria; Squamata; Elapidae.